AAAUUGGAGAAUUGUCCAAAUUCAGUGAUAUGUCCUGGAAUCUAUGACCUAACCUUCCUCAUUUUUCUCUCAAAAGGGUGCCCCUCUAUGGAGCUGCCACCAAUUCCUCUCAAAUCCAUCGUGUUGCCGCCUCCAAGACCACCAAAAUUUCACCUCUCCAUCGGUUCCAAUACUCCCUUGAUCCAUCACAACCAAACAAUUAUGUAAACAGCCACAAAUUCGACUCAAAAUCAGCCCUAGAUACAAUAAGAAAUUCAAUACUUUUUCACUGGUUUUGGCCAUUCCGUC
RNAcentral lists this long non-coding RNA (288 nucleotides) under Olea europaea (common olive). RNAcentral describes it as "long non-coding RNA (OEUR_LNC002744)". The record is from RNAcentral. Lineage: Eukaryota; Viridiplantae; Streptophyta; Magnoliopsida; Lamiales; Oleaceae.